AAUCCUACGGGGGGCAGCAGUGAGGAAUAUUGGUCAAUGGGAGGAAUCCUGAACCAGCCAUGCCGCGUGCAGGACGACGGCUCUACGAGUUGUAAACUGCUUUUGUACCGGGGUAAAAUGCCUUACGAGUAGGGUUUUGAAAGUACGGUACGAAUAAGGAUCGGCUAACUCCGUGCCAGCAGCCGCGGUAAUACGGAGGAUCCGAGCGUUAUCCGGAUUUAUUGGGUUUAAAGGGUGCGCAGGCGGAGGCACAAGUCAGCGGUAAAAUCGCGGGGCUCAACCCCGCUCCGCCGUUGAAACUGUGU
Molecule: ribosomal RNA, 305 nt
Filed under: uncultured bacterium
Lineage: Bacteria
Description: bacterial SSU rRNA
Rfam family: Bacterial small subunit ribosomal RNA
Source: RNAcentral